This 252-nucleotide ribosomal RNA is filed under the name uncultured bacterium. RNAcentral describes it as "partial 16S ribosomal RNA". It matches the Rfam family "Bacterial small subunit ribosomal RNA", at positions 524 to 776 of the family's 1533-position model. The record is from RNAcentral.
UACGGAGGAUGCGAGCGUUAUCCGGAUUUAUUGGGUUUAAAGGGUGCGCAGGCGGCACGGCAAGCCGGCGGUCAAAUCGCGGGGCUUAACCCCGCCCAGCCGUCGGAACUGCCGGGCUAGAGUGGGCGAGAAGUGCGCGGAAUGCGUGGUGUAGCGGUGAAAUGCAUAGAUAUCACGCAGAACUCCGAUUGCGAAGGCAGCGCACCGGCGCCCUACUGACGCUCAGGCACGAAAGCGUGGGUAUCGAACAGG